This 516-nucleotide unclassified non-coding RNA is filed under the name uncultured Glomus. RNAcentral describes it as "SSU rRNA". It matches the Rfam family "Eukaryotic small subunit ribosomal RNA", at positions 569 to 1086 of the family's 1831-position model. The record is from RNAcentral. Lineage: Eukaryota; Fungi; Glomeromycota; Glomeromycetes; Glomerales; Glomeraceae.
AGCAGCCGCGGUAAUUCCAGCUCCAAUAGCGUAUAUUAAAGUUGUUGCAGUUAAAAAGCUCGUAGUUGAAUUUCGGGAUCAAUUAAUUGGUCGUGCCUAUGGUAUGUACUGAUUUUAUUGGUUUCUCCCUUCUGACGAACCAUGAUGUCAUUAAUUUGGUGUCGUGAAGAAUCAGGACUGUUACUUUGAAAAAUUAGAGUGUUUAAAGCAAGCUAACGCUUGAAUACAUUAGCAUGGAAUAAUGAAAUAGGACGUUUGAUCCUAUUUUGUUGGUUUCUAGGAUCGACGUAAUGAUUAAUAGGGAUAGUUGGGGGCAUUAGUAUUCAAUUGUCAGAGGUGAAAUUCUUGGAUUUAUUGAAGACUAACUACUGCGAAAGCAUUUGCCAAGGAUGUUUUCAUUAAUCAAGAACGAAAGUUAGGGGAUCGAAGACGAUCAGAUACCGUCGUAGUCUUAACCAUAAACUAUGCCGACUAGGGAUCGGAUGAUGUUAAUUUUUUAAUGUACUCAUUCGUACG